UCCUCGUUACCUCAAUUUUAUUAUUUCAGUGCUAAUGAUUUCUUCCGUCAUGUUUAAGUGAUUAAUCUGUGUAUGAUGAUUUCAAUUCAUGUCAACAUUAUAUCUGUACAAGCAAGUUCUUCUCCGAUGUUUUCCAUCGCUAUGGAGUAUGGGCAGAUUGAAACAAUCCAUAUUUAACUCUCAGUCCAGAGUAUGAAGCUGCCCAGUUUUGUGUUUGUAUUUUUUGUAUGUUAGAUUGAGGUGUUUGGUCAAAUGGCCAUUCAAGGUUAUAUAUUUAGAGGGAGAAAGCCAGUUCACUGGAGUCCCUCAUCACGAACUGCUCUUGCAGAGGCUGGAUUGGAGUACCCCGAGGGGCAUACUUCAAGAAGCAUAUACGCCAUUUUUAGAUUGGUUAAGGAAGGUCCAUCUUCAGGCGGUGUGCUACAAGAAUUUUUCCGAGACUUGUGCUUGGCCAUAUGGACUACAACUCCUUGGACUAUUCCAGCCAAUGCUGUAUGCUUGUAUUUUCCAUAAUUGAAUUGCUGGCACAGUCUGAAGAUGUCUUUGUUUUGAUUGGAAAUAAAAAGAAAAGGCCUGGUAAUAUUCCGAAGGAGGGAAAGAGGACUUUCCUUCUAGUAGCAACAGAUCUUGUGCCAACUUUUGGAAGCAAAAUGGGGUGUGAAGCUUGUUGUCAAGAAGAAAUUGUUGGGUUCAGAACUUGAAAACUGCAGGUUUUAUUUCUUUCCCUAAACAAUCAGAAGGAACAGUGAAAGUGGGAGCUUCCUUAUCAAGUGAUUUUUCUUCCUAAAAAAACUUGUAGGUUUCAUAUUCGGUUAGAAGAAAUCUAGAAAUGUUGGUAAAUUUUAACAUAUUGUUUUACCAAGCCUAUCUCUUAGUAAUUUACCUUAGUCACUUGAUGUGAAAGUGAAUAUGUGAACUAAGGGUGAUAUAUAAUUAAAUUUGGCUUCAACCACAAACUUAAGCUUUUGAGUGAAUUGACGGUUUAAUAUGGUAUUAGAACAGGAGGUCCUGUGUUGUUCAAGCUCCUGUAUUGUUGUUUCCUUUCCAGUUAAAAUCGAUUUCCACUUUUUGGGCCUUUCAAA
Cucumis sativus (cucumber) is the source of this 1082-nucleotide RNA transcript. It is a transcript of the gene named isoleucine--tRNA ligase, with no coding region annotated. Lineage: Eukaryota; Viridiplantae; Streptophyta; Magnoliopsida; Cucurbitales; Cucurbitaceae. The transcript is spliced from 5 exons. The record is from RefSeq and is a predicted model, not a curated record.